GUGCCAGCAGCCUCGGUAAUUCCAGCUCCAAUAGCGUAUAUUAAAGGUGUUUUUGAUAAAAAGCUCGUAGUUUAACCUUGGGCCUGGCUGGCCGGUCCGCCUCACCGCGUGUACUGGUCCGGCCGCGCCUUUCCUUCUGGGGAACCUCAUGCCCUUCACUGGGCGUGUUGGGGAACCAGGACUUUUACUUUGAAAAAAUUAGAGUGUUCAAAGCAGGCCUUUGCUCGAAUACAUUAGCCUGGGAUAAAAGAAUAGGACGUGUGGAUCUAUUUUGUUGGUUUCUAGGACCUCCGGAAUGAUUAAUAGGGAUAGGCGGGGGCCUUAUCAUUCAAAUCGUCAGAAGCUAGAUUUUUCGACUGAUUGUAGAUUAACUACUGGCUAAUGUCUUGCCAUCAUAUUCGAUUAUCAAGGGAACUAAAU
This 420-nucleotide ribosomal RNA is filed under the name uncultured fungus. RNAcentral describes it as "bacterial SSU rRNA". It matches the Rfam family "Eukaryotic small subunit ribosomal RNA", at positions 564 to 989 of the family's 1831-position model. Lineage: Eukaryota; Fungi. The record is from RNAcentral.